RNAcentral lists this unclassified non-coding RNA (335 nucleotides) under soil metagenome. RNAcentral describes it as "partial contains 5.8S ribosomal RNA, internal transcribed spacer 2, and large subunit ribosomal RNA". The stretch from base 1 to 120 matches the Rfam family "5.8S ribosomal RNA", at positions 35 to 154 of the family's 154-position model. The record is from RNAcentral.
GAUGAAGAACGCAGUGAAAUGCGAUAAGUAAUGUGAAUUGCAGAAUUCAGUGAAUCAUCGAAUCUUUGAACGCACAUUGCGCCCGCCAGUAUUCUGGCGGGCAUGCCUGUUCGAGCGUCAUUUCAACCAUCAAGCCCCCGGCUUGUGUUGGGGACCUGCGGCUGCCGCAGGCCCUGAAAACCAGUGGCGGGCUCGCUAGUCACUCCGAGCGUAGUAAUACAUCUCGCUCAGGGCGUGCUGCGGGUUCCGGCCGUUAAAAAGCCUUAUUUACCCAAGGUUGACCUCGGAUCAGGUAGGAAGACCCGCUGAACUUAAGCAUAUCAAUAAGCGGAGGA